CCUACGGGUGGCAGCAGUGGGGAAUAUUGCACAAUGGGGGAAACCCUGAUGCAGCGACGCCGCGUGAGUGAAGAAGUAUUUCGGUAUGUAAAGCUCUAUCAGCAGGGAAGAAAAUGACGGUACCUGAUGAAGAAGCACCGGCUAACUACGUGCCAGCAGCCGCGGUAAUACGUAGGGGGCAAGCGUUAUCCGGAUUUACUGGGUGUAAAGGGAGCGUAGACGGCAGCACAAGUCUGGAGUGAAAUGCCGGAGCUUAACCCCGGAACUGCUUUGGAAACUGUGCAGCUAGAGUGCAGGAGAGGUAAGUGGAAUUCCUAGUGUAGCGGUGAAAUGCGUAGAUAUUAGGAGGAACACCAGUGGCGAAGGCGGCUUACUGGACUGUAACUGACGUUGAGGCUCGACAGCGUGGGGAGCAAACAGGAUUAGAUACCCGUGUAGUC
Molecule: ribosomal RNA, 440 nt
Filed under: uncultured bacterium
Lineage: Bacteria
Description: partial 16S ribosomal RNA
Rfam family: Bacterial small subunit ribosomal RNA
Source: RNAcentral